UCCCUGGUGGCUCCGAGGGUAAAGCGUCUGCCUGCAAUGCGGGAGACCUGGGUUCGAUCCCUGGUUCGGGAA
Molecule: transfer RNA, 72 nt
Filed under: Bos taurus (domestic cattle)
Lineage: Eukaryota; Metazoa; Chordata; Mammalia; Artiodactyla; Bovidae
Also listed under: 3 other names
Rfam family: tRNA
About the family: Transfer RNA (tRNA) molecules are approximately 80 nucleotides in length. Their secondary structure includes four short double-helical elements and three loops (D, anti-codon, and T loops).
Source: Rfam by way of RNAcentral